CUACGGAGGGGGUUAGCGUUGUUCGGAAUCACUGGGCGUAAAGGACGCGUAGGCGGGUUGGCAAGUCAGAUGUGAAAUCCUACAGCUUAACUGUAGAACUGCAUUUGAAACUGCUAACCUAGAGUAUGGGAGGGGGAGAUGGAAUUAGUGGUGUAGGGGUAAAAUCCGUAGAUAUCACUAGGAAUACCGAAAGCGAAGGCGAUCUCCUGGAACAUAACUGACGCUAAGGCGUGAAAGCGUGGGGAGCAAACAGGAUUAGAAACCCUUGUAGUCC
RNAcentral lists this ribosomal RNA (274 nucleotides) under uncultured bacterium. RNAcentral's name for it is "partial 16S ribosomal RNA". It matches the Rfam family "Bacterial small subunit ribosomal RNA", at positions 523 to 796 of the family's 1533-position model. The record is from RNAcentral.